RNAcentral lists this ribosomal RNA (492 nucleotides) under uncultured bacterium. Its description in RNAcentral is "partial 16S ribosomal RNA". It matches the Rfam family "Bacterial small subunit ribosomal RNA", at positions 29 to 507 of the family's 1533-position model. The record is from RNAcentral.
AGUGAACGCUGGCGGUAGGCCUAACACAUGCAAGUCGAACGGCAGCACAGUAAGAGCUUGCUCUUACGGGUGGCGAGUGGCGGACGGGUGAGGAAUACAUCGGAAUCUACUUUUUCGUGGGGGAUAACGUAGGGAAACUUACGCUACUACCGCAUACGACCUACGGGUGAAAGCAGGGGAUCUUCGGACCUUGCGCGAUUGAAUGAGCCGAUGUCGGAUUAGCUAGUUGGCGGGGUAAAGGCCCACCAAGGCGACGAUCCGUAGCUGGUCUGAGAGGAUGAUCAGCCACACUGAAACUGAGACACGGUCCAGACUCCUACGGGAGGCAGCAGUGGGGAAUAUUGGACAAUGGGCGCAAGCCUGAUCCAGCCAUACCGCGUGGGUGAAGAAGGCCUUCGGGUUGUAAAGCCCUUUUGUUGGGAAAGAAAAGCAGCAGGUUAAUACCCCGCUGUUCUGACGGUACCCAAAGAAUAAGCACCGGCUAACUUCGUG